Molecule: ribosomal RNA, 957 nt
Filed under: uncultured organism
Description: bacterial SSU rRNA
Rfam family: Bacterial small subunit ribosomal RNA
Source: RNAcentral
GGUACCCUACUAGAAAGGAGCCGCUAACUUCGUGCCAGAAGCGUCGGUAAUACGGGGGCUCCAAGCGUUAUCCGGUGUUAUUGGGCGUAAAGAGUCGUGUAGGUGGUUGGGUAAGUUAUCUUUCAAAUAUCUUUGCUUAACAAAGAGGAGGGGGAUAAUACUGCUCGACUAGAAUUUUCUCAAGGGAGAUCGGAACUGAGGGAGGAGUAGUGAAAUGCGUUGAUACCCUCGGGAACACCAGUGGCGUAGGCGGAUCUCUGGGAGAAGAUUGACACUGAGACACGAAAGCUAGGGGAGCGAAGCAGAUUAGAGACCUGCGUAGUCCUAGCCGUAAACGCAUGCUUGCUAGCUGCAUGAAUCUACCUUCGGGUGGUAUCGUGUGGCGAAGGUAACCCGUUAAGCAAGCCGCCUGGAAAGUACGGCCGCAAGGCUGAAAUUCAAAGGAAUUGGCGGGGAGGCACACAACCAGUGGAACAUGUGGUUUAAUUCGAGACUAACCGAAGAACCUCACCAGGGUUUGACAUGUAGCUGCACGUCUUAAGAAAUUAAGACUCUCUUGAAGGUGCUACACAGGUGCUGCAUGGCUGUCGUCAGCUCGUUCCGUGAGGAGUGCCCUUAAGUGGGACAACGAGCGCAACCCCUAUUACAUGUUAGAAAUGUCAUGUAAGACUGCCUUGCCAUUUGGCGGGGAGGAAGGAGGGGCAGACGUCAAGUCCGCAUGGUCCUUAUGCCCUGGGCUACACACAUGUUACAAUGAGUACGGCAAUGAGUCUGUCGCGAGCACGUAAGUGUAAGCUAAUCUCUUAAAUGUACUCUCAGUGGGGAUUGAGGUCUGCAACUCGACCUCAUGAACACGGAAUUGGUAGUAAUCGCGGGUCAGCUAUACCGCGGUGAAUACGUUCUUGCCUCUUGCACACACCGCCCGUCAAACCAGCAAAGUCGAUUGUAUCCGAACCU